UGGGCUCAGUCACGCCCCCUGGGCGCAGUCCGCCGACUGCAGGAAGCCUGGAGCCUGAUCCAGGUUACCACAAGCCACUGAAUAUAGUACCCUGUGCUACGCCCUAAGACCUUGCUGUUUAUACAGAGGUAUUUUCUUAAUCAAGAGGAGGCCCAGAUAUCUGGCAGACAAUUGGCUAAUACGUGUUUCUCAACUUGGAACUUGACCUUUUCUAAGGAAUUGGUUGGCUGAAACAGUUUAGAGGUGAACCCCGAAGCCGUGUGUGGAGCUGGCAGCAUCAAAAGAUAAUGAAGCAUCAAGAAACAAAUGCUGGAGAGGGUGUGGAGAAAAGGGAGCCCUCAGCUGGUGGGAAUGUAGAUUGGUGCAGCCGCUAUGGAAAACAGUACGGAGUACUUUUCUGAGUCACAGAGGGACACUGCGCAGUGAAGAUGGACCUCAUCGUAAUCCCCGAUGAACUUAAAGACGGUGACGUGAAAGCGACAGGUCACAAAACCCUCACGUGAGUAAUACCCUCCCGAUGCCCGGAGGAAAGAAGCAUCCUUGUCUCCAAAGACAAAGGGGGGCUGAAGAAGAAUCUGAACAGUCUGGCUAAGUUCCCCCCAGUUUACUCCAAUCACCCCAUAAUCUUUGACCUGUCAUCUCUCUCCACGACUGUCUCUUCAUCAAACCGAACGUAUCACUACUCAGCUUUAACUGUUCCUUCAGGUCUCCAUUUCCUUAGGAAGGCUUCCUUAUAUUAACUUACAGUAAAUAAAUUUGUAUGCUUUUCUCCUGUUAAUCUGUCUUGGUCCAUUCAGACUCAGUCAGGAACCCCAAAAGGACUGAGAAAAACUUUGUCCUCCCCAACACCUGGCAAUUUAAUGCUGCAUCUCCUCCAAACAAAGAAGAGGAAAUCGUUUCAAGAAAGGCUAAUCAUAUUCCUUCACAGGGGUUCCCUGAAUUGGGGUUAGAAGAAUAUCACUCCUGGUGGUUGCAAUGCUGUCAAUGCAAGUCCAGGACUGCCAGUGUCUAACGAGGCCAGUGAGAGACAGAGACACAGACAAGGAAUAGAGGGAGUUUUGACAGCAGGUGGCUCCCUGGACCCAAUCGUCUCUGAAGCCACAUCUACUCCUGUGAUUUGGUUUUGUAACCAUUAACUGCCUUGUUUUUGCACAAACUAGUUUGAAAUGGUCUCUACCACUUGUAAUAGAAAGGAUUUUGAUUAAUACAGUCAUCUCCUUUAAGAAACCUUGUACUGGGGUGAUGGAAUGUUCCAAAAUAGAUUAUGAUGAUGGCUGCACUCCUCUGCAAAUUUAAUAAAAAUCAUUGAA
Molecule: long non-coding RNA, 1310 nt
Organism: Camelus dromedarius (Arabian camel)
Lineage: Eukaryota; Metazoa; Chordata; Mammalia; Artiodactyla; Camelidae
Exons: 5
Source: RefSeq, a predicted model, not a curated record